Molecule: unclassified non-coding RNA, 382 nt
Filed under: uncultured fungus
Lineage: Eukaryota; Fungi
Description: partial contains 5.8S ribosomal RNA, internal transcribed spacer 2, and large subunit ribosomal RNA
Source: RNAcentral
AACGCACCUUGCGCUCCCGGCAGAUCUAAUCUGGGGAGCAUGCCUGUUUGAGGGCCGCGAAUUGUUUCGAGCAUCGACUUUUUUCUUGCAAAGGAGUCGGUGGAUCGGUAUUGAGGAUUUUGCCAUUCACCGUGGCUUCCUCGAAAAGCAUUAGCGCAUCCAUUCAAUAGGCAAGACGGACGAAAGCUCGUAUUUCGCCUUGUUCUUCCCUGCCGGGUUUUGAUAAUAUCAGGACUUCGGAGGCGAAGGCAAGGUUCAAGCUGGACGCAACGACUUGCUGGUUGGAGUGCUUCUAACCCCGCCCAUGCCAUUGCUUCGUGCAAAUGAAGGGAUUUUUUCAAUUCAUCGGCCUCAGAUUGGUAGGACUACCCGCUGAACUUAA